UGCUCCUAAAGCAUUGCUGGCGAUGCAGUUGCCUUGUAAGCAUCUGAACUAGGUUCGACUCCUGGUGGGAGCACCAA
Molecule: transfer RNA, 77 nt
Filed under: Escherichia phage JLBYU43
Lineage: Duplodnaviria; Heunggongvirae; Uroviricota; Caudoviricetes; Demerecviridae
Description: tRNA-Thr
Rfam family: tRNA
About the family: Transfer RNA (tRNA) molecules are approximately 80 nucleotides in length. Their secondary structure includes four short double-helical elements and three loops (D, anti-codon, and T loops).
Source: RNAcentral